This 474-nucleotide ribosomal RNA is filed under the name uncultured bacterium. Its description in RNAcentral is "bacterial SSU rRNA". It matches the Rfam family "Bacterial small subunit ribosomal RNA", at positions 328 to 793 of the family's 1533-position model. The record is from RNAcentral.
CUCUGUGACUCCGUACGGGAGGCAGCAGUGGGGAAUAUUGCACAAUGGGCGCAAGCCUGAUGCAGCCAUGCCGCGUGUAUGAAGAAGGCCUUCGGGUUGUAAAGUACUUUCAGCAGUGAGGAAGGCGGGUGUGUUAAUAGCACAUUCGUUUGACGUUAGCUGCAGAAGAAGCACCGGCUAACUCCGUGCCAGCAGCCGCGGUAAUACGGAGGGUGCGAGCGUUAAUCGGAAUUACUGGGCGUAAAGCGCAUGCAGGUGGUUUGUUAAGUCAGAUGUGAAAGCCCCGGGGCUCAACCUCGGAAUUGCAUUUGAAACUGGCAGACUAGAGUACUGUAGAGGGGGUAGAAUUUCAGGUGUAGCGGUGAAAUGCGUAGAGAUCUGAAGGAAUACCGGUGGCGAAGGCGGCCCCCUGGACAGAUACUGACACUCAGAUGCGAAAGCGUGGGGAGCAAACAGGAUUAGAUACCCUGGUAG